This 401-nucleotide ribosomal RNA is filed under the name uncultured Clostridium sp. RNAcentral's name for it is "bacterial SSU rRNA". It matches the Rfam family "Bacterial small subunit ribosomal RNA", at positions 355 to 773 of the family's 1533-position model. Lineage: Bacteria; Bacillati; Bacillota; Clostridia; Eubacteriales; Clostridiaceae. The record is from RNAcentral.
UGGGGAAUAUUGCACAAUGGGGGAAACCCUGAUGCAGCAACGCCGCGUGAGUGAUGACGGCCUUCGGGUUGUAAAGCUCUGUUUCCAGGGACGAUAAUGACGGUACCUGGGGAGGAAGCCACGGCUAACUACGUGCCAGCAGCCGCGGUAAUACGUAGGUGGCAAGCGUUGUCCGGAUUUACUGGGCGUAAAGGGAGCGUAGGCGGAUUUUUAAGUGGGAUGUGAAAUACCCGAGCUUAACUUGGGUGCUGCAUUCCAAACUGGAAGUCUAGAGUGUCGGAGAGGAAAGCAGAAUUCCUAGUGUAGCGGUGAAAUGCGUAGAGAUUAGGAAGAAUACCAGUGGCGAAGGCGGCUUUCUGGACGAUAACUGACGCUGAGGCUCGAAAGCGUGGGGAGCAAAC